UGGCUACUGUCUGGGAUCC
RNAcentral lists this non-coding RNA (19 nucleotides) under Mus musculus (house mouse). Lineage: Eukaryota; Metazoa; Chordata; Mammalia; Rodentia; Muridae. The record is from RNAcentral.